Non-coding RNA from Danionella cerebrum, 75 nucleotides. The record is from the annotation of a GenBank genome assembly. NCBI's taxonomy places the organism in Eukaryota, Metazoa, Chordata, Actinopteri, Cypriniformes, Danionidae.
GCUUUCCUGUGGCUCAGUCAGUAGGCCAUUUCGCUAACAAUGCAAAGGUUGUGGAUUCAACCCCCACGGAAAACA